AGGUUGGGCUCUCCUCUCCAAAGUCCUCUGUGGUGAGGAACCGGUUUCUUCAACUAAUCCAUUCAAUCUCAUCACGUUAGAUUUUAGCACCAACCUACCAGAUCUUGCUAGGUUGAAUUUUAGCGGCAACAUUCAUGGACUUAGACACGGUCCAUGACACCUACCUGUUUAAGAACCUUGUCUGAUUUGAGCGGCUACGAGAAUAAUGCACAGU
RNAcentral lists this long non-coding RNA (214 nucleotides) under Elaeis guineensis (African oil palm). RNAcentral describes it as "long non-coding RNA (EGUI_LNC016082)". The record is from RNAcentral. Lineage: Eukaryota; Viridiplantae; Streptophyta; Magnoliopsida; Arecales; Arecaceae.